GUCAGCGCCGUAGCGCGGUGGUCCCACCUGACCCCAUGCCGAACUCAGAAGUGAAACGCCGUAGCGCCGAUGGUAGUGUGGGGUCUCCCCAUGCGAGAGUAGGGAACUGCCA
RNAcentral lists this ribosomal RNA (112 nucleotides) under Escherichia coli. The record is from RNAcentral. Lineage: Bacteria; Pseudomonadati; Pseudomonadota; Gammaproteobacteria; Enterobacterales; Enterobacteriaceae.